CCCACGGGUGGCAGCAGUGGGGAAUAUUGGACAAUGGGCGAAAGCCUGAUCCAGCCAUGCCGCGUGUGUGAAGAAGGUCUUCGGAUUGUAAAGCACUUUAAGUUGGGAGGAAGGGCAGUAAGCUAAUACCUUGCUGUUUUGACGUUACCGACAGAAUAAGCACCGGCUAACUCUGUGCCAGCAGCCGCGGUAAUACAGAGGGUGCAAGCGUUAAUCGGAAUUACUGGGCGUAAAGCGCGCGUAGGUGGUUUGUUAAGUUGGAUGUGAAAGCCCCGGGCUCAACCGGGGAACUGCAUCCAAAACUGGCAAGCUAGAGUAUGGUAGAGGGUGGUGGAAUUUCCUGUGUAGCGGUGAAAUGCGUAGAUAUAGGAAGGAACACCAGUGGCGAAGGCGACCACCUGGACUGAUACUGACACUGAGGUGCGAAAGCGUGGGGAGCAAACA
RNAcentral lists this ribosomal RNA (444 nucleotides) under uncultured prokaryote. RNAcentral's name for it is "bacterial SSU rRNA". It matches the Rfam family "Bacterial small subunit ribosomal RNA", at positions 338 to 774 of the family's 1533-position model. The record is from RNAcentral.